GCGUAAUAGCUCACUGGUCGAGUCGGCCUGCGCGGAAGAUGUAACGGGGCUAAACCAUGCACCGAAGCUGCGGCAGCGACACUAUGUGUUGUUGGGUAGGGGAGCGUUCUGUAAGCCGUUGAAGGUGUGCUGUGAGGCAUGCUGGAGGUAUCAGAAGUGCGAAUGCUGACAUAAGUAACGAUAAUGCGGGUGAAAAACCCGCACGCCGGAAGACCAAGGGUUCCUGUCCAACGUUAAUCGGGGCAGGGUGAGUCGACCCCUAAGGCGAGGCCGAAAGGCGUAGUCGAUGGGAAACAGGUUAAUAUUCCUGUACUUGGUGUUACUGCGAAGGGGGGACGGAGAAGGCUAUGUUAGCCGGGCGACGGUUGUCCCGGUUUAAGCAUGUAGGCGGAGGUUCCAGGUAAAUCCGGUACCUUUUUAACGCUGAGGUGUGAUGACGAGGCACUACGGUGCUGAAGUAACAAAUGCCCUGCUUCCAGGAAAAGCCUCUAAGCAUCAGGUAACACGAAAUCGUACCCCAAACCGACACAGGUGGUCAGGUAGAGAAUACCAAGGCGCUUGAGAGAACUCGGGUGAAGGAACUAGGCAAAAUGGUGCCGUAACUUCGGGAGAAGGCACGCUGAUAUGUAGGUGAAGUGGUUUACCCAUGGAGCUGAAAUCAGUCGAAGAUACCAGCUGGCUGCAACUGUUUAUUAAAAACACAGCACUGUGCAAACACGAAAGUGGACGUAUACGGUGUGACGCCUGCCCGGUGCCGGAAGGUUAAUUGAUGGG
Molecule: ribosomal RNA, 774 nt
Filed under: Citrobacter freundii
Lineage: Bacteria; Pseudomonadati; Pseudomonadota; Gammaproteobacteria; Enterobacterales; Enterobacteriaceae
Description: partial 23S ribosomal RNA
Rfam family: Bacterial large subunit ribosomal RNA
Source: RNAcentral